Molecule: ribosomal RNA, 468 nt
Filed under: uncultured bacterium
Lineage: Bacteria
Description: partial 16S ribosomal RNA
Rfam family: Bacterial small subunit ribosomal RNA
Source: RNAcentral
GACGAACGCUGGCGGCGUGCUUAACACAUGCAAGUCGAACGGAAAGGCCCUGCUUUUGUGGGGUGCUCGAGUGGCGAACGGGUGAGUAACACGUGAGUAACCUGCCCUUGACUUUGGGAUAACUUCAGGAAACUGGGGCUAAUACCGGAUAGGAGCUCCUGCUGCAUGGUGGGGGUUGGAAAGUUUCGGCGGUUGGGGAUGGACUCGCGGCUUAUCAGCUUGUUGGUGGGGUAGUGGCUUACCAAGGCUUUGACGGGUAGCCGGCCGGAGAGGGUGACCGGCCACAUUGGGACUGAGAUACGGCCCAGACUCCUAAGGGAGGCAGCAGGGGGGAAUAUUGCAAAAUGGGCGGAAGCGUGAUGGAGCAACGCCGCGUGCGGGAUGACGGCUUUCGGGUUGUAAACCGCUUUCGCCUGUGACGAAGCGUGAGUGACGGUAAUGGGUAAAGAAGCACCGGCUAACUACGUG